UCCUAGAGAGAUCACUGCAGAGCUUCCCCCUUGCCAAGGCUGCCGUUGCUCUUGGGACCAGCUGAAUACAACGGGCACCCCACCCCAGCGCUGGUGAUCAGACCCUUUGAACAUGGCAGUGCUGGCUCUGUCUUGCUCUGAAGGCUUUUGAGCCUUACCCGCCUGCUGCACAAACCGCUGUAGCUCCUAAUGUGAGUUCACUGUCAUCUCCAAGCCAAAGGGAGCCAACCUUGGAAGCUCCCUGCUCUGACCUUUUGCUGGCUGAAGUCCGAAUGCUAAGACUGACCUCAGGAUGAGGCAGCAGUCUGUAUGCUGAUCUCUGCUCCAGUGUCAAUGCACAGGCCUCUCCAGGAAUGAGAGUCUACAUUUACAACUUGGUGAGGUGGGACCUAGAACACAUGGCUUCUAAGGUCACCUCCAGUUUCAGGCAGGUGGUGUGACUUGGGAAGUCCCUGGGAGUUUUGACCAAUUUACUCCUGGGAGAGUGAAUUAG
This 493-nucleotide long non-coding RNA is filed under the name Mus spicilegus (steppe mouse). Its description in RNAcentral is "lncRNA (ENSMSIG00000005573.1)". Lineage: Eukaryota; Metazoa; Chordata; Mammalia; Rodentia; Muridae. The record is from RNAcentral.